Long non-coding RNA from Cololabis saira (Pacific saury), 574 nucleotides. RefSeq lists it as uncharacterized. NCBI's taxonomy places the organism in Eukaryota, Metazoa, Chordata, Actinopteri, Beloniformes, Belonidae. The record is from RefSeq and is a predicted model, not a curated record. The transcript is spliced from 3 exons.
GGUAUGGCUGCAGACCCGGAGGCAGCAGAUCUGAGCAGCAGAUCUGAACCGCAGUUCUAGACGUGACAGAGCCCCCUACUGGAUUACUUUAUAACUGCAACUAAAUCAACAGUUCAGAUCGAGACUUCUCGUUUUUUUCCGGCAGCGUGCUGUUUUCUCCUUUUCUCAAGAUGGAUGACGACCGGAGUGUACACAUAACAAUCCAGAAAGGAAGGGCCUUGCCCCAACUUCACAGAUGCACAUCAUGCUGCAAUAACUACCACUGUCCAUUCUGCAGCCCUAUAGUUUACUACCCCUCCCCGUUGAACAAAUGUCAGAUACACAUGGAUCUUCAUUUUAACAGAGCUGUUAGCCAUGAAGAAUACACCAUUCACAGAUGUGGACUGGGAUGUCGGCCGCAGCUGCAUUAUCACUGUCCAUACUGCAGUUCAACAAUAAAACGGAAAGACGAUUUUAUUAAACAUAUACAUUGGUGCAAGAAGAAACCAGGUUCCAACCCUACAGUCCCACCAACCACCACCACCCCCCUGUCACCAACCACCACCAUCACCUCCCUGGCACCAUCCACCACCAC